CUGGAAAUAUGAUGACAUUAUUCUCAUAAUAUUACGACUUCAUUCUCGUAAAAUUAUGCCUCUUUUUGUAUUCGACUUUAUUCUCAUAAAAGUAUGGGUUUUAUCUGGAUAUUUUCCGACUUUAUUUUCCUAGUGACAGUAUUUUUAUUUUCCUAUCAGACCUUAAUAUUCCGUCGUAUGAUACAUCUUUCUAGUGCUCAGAGUGUUUGACUAAAGUGGUCCUGAUGUGUCUUUAUGGAUCUGGUUUCCUGUGACAAGUGCCCCUGAAUUCAGAUCCUUGGUACGACGCUGGGAAAAGAGCCUUUUCCUGUGUAUUUAACCUCCCUGGGCUUUUAAUGCAACAUGUGACAACGUGUACUGUACUCCAUCUCUGGGUGUUUAAAUAGAUCCAGCCUUCUGACUGUGUCUUCAGUGUUAUGGCUAUAAUUACAUUAAACUGUGGUUUCUCUCA
This is a long non-coding RNA of Sphaeramia orbicularis (orbiculate cardinalfish), 451 nucleotides long. RefSeq lists it as uncharacterized. The transcript is spliced from 2 exons. The record is from RefSeq and is a predicted model, not a curated record. NCBI's taxonomy places the organism in Eukaryota, Metazoa, Chordata, Actinopteri, Kurtiformes, Apogonidae.